UCGCUAGUAAUCGCGCAUCAGCCAUGGCGCGGUGAAUACGUUCCCGGGCCUUGUACACACCGCCCGUCAAGCCAUGGAAGCCGGGAGUGCCUGAAGUGUGCAACCGCAAGGAGCGCCCUAAGGUAAAACUGGUGACUGGGGCUAAGUCGUAACAAGGUAUC
RNAcentral lists this ribosomal RNA (161 nucleotides) under uncultured bacterium. RNAcentral describes it as "partial 16S ribosomal RNA". It matches the Rfam family "Bacterial small subunit ribosomal RNA", at positions 1332 to 1500 of the family's 1533-position model. The record is from RNAcentral.